CGGCGAGUGAAGCGGCAACAGCUCAAAUUUGAAAUCUGGCUCUCUUUGGGGGUCCGAGUUGUAAUUUGCAGAGGAUGCUUUGGCAUUGGCGGCGGUCUAAGUUCCUUGGAACAGGACAUCACAGAGGGUGAGAAUCCCGUACGUGGUCGCCUGCCUUUGCCGUGUAAAGCUCCUUCGACGAGUCGAGUUGUUUGGGAAUGCAGCUCUAAAUGGGAGGUAAAUUUCUUCUAAAGCUAAAUACUGGCCAGAGACCGAUAGCGCACAAGUAGAGUGAUCGAAAGAUGAAAAGUACUUUGGAAAGAGAGUCAAAAAGCACGUGAAAUUGUUGAAAGGGAAGCGCUUGCAGCCAGACUUGCCCGCAGUUGCUCACCUAGGCUUUCGCCUGGGGCACUCUUCUGCGGGCAGGCCAGCAUCAGUUUGGGCGGUUGGAUAAAGGCCUCUGUCACGUAUCUCCCUUCGGGGUGACCUUAUAGGGGAGGCGCAAUGCAACCAGCCCGGACUGAGGUCCGCGCAUCUGCUAGGAUGCUGGCGUAAUGGCUGUAAGCGGCCCGUCUUGAAACACGGACCAAGGAGUCUAACAUCUAUG
Molecule: ribosomal RNA, 586 nt
Filed under: Paraphaeosphaeria sp.
Lineage: Eukaryota; Fungi; Ascomycota; Dothideomycetes; Pleosporales; Didymosphaeriaceae
Description: partial large subunit ribosomal RNA
Rfam family: Eukaryotic large subunit ribosomal RNA
Source: RNAcentral